UACGAAGGGGGCUAGCGUUGUUCGGAAUUACUGGGCGUAAAGCGCACGUAGGCGGAUAUUUAAGUCAGGGGUGAAAUCCCAGAGCUCAACUCUGGAACUGCCUUUGAUACUGGGGAUCUCGAGUCCGGAAGAGGUUGGUGGAACUGCGAGUGUAGAGGUGAAAUUCGUAGAUAUUCGCAAGAACACCAGUGGCGAAGGCGGCCAACUGGUCCGGAACUGACGCUGAGGUGCGAAAGCGUGGGGAGCAAACAGG
Molecule: ribosomal RNA, 253 nt
Filed under: uncultured bacterium
Lineage: Bacteria
Description: partial 16S ribosomal RNA
Rfam family: Bacterial small subunit ribosomal RNA
Source: RNAcentral